GGGGGUAUAGCUCAAGUGGUAGAGUGCAUGCUUAGCAUGCAUGAGGUCCUGGGUUCAAUCCCCAGUACCUCCU
RNAcentral lists this transfer RNA (73 nucleotides) under Vicugna pacos (alpaca). Its description in RNAcentral is "tRNA-Ala (AGC) (tRNA-Ala-AGC-229-1, tRNA-Ala-AGC-229-2)". It matches the Rfam family "tRNA". From Rfam's summary of the family: Transfer RNA (tRNA) molecules are approximately 80 nucleotides in length. The record is from Rfam by way of RNAcentral. Lineage: Eukaryota; Metazoa; Chordata; Mammalia; Artiodactyla; Camelidae.